Molecule: transfer RNA, 66 nt
Filed under: Mirhipipteryx andensis
Lineage: Eukaryota; Metazoa; Arthropoda; Insecta; Orthoptera; Ripipterygidae
Description: tRNA-Cys
Source: RNAcentral
GGCUUUAUAUUCAUUUGGUGAUUUUAGAUUGCAAAUCUAAAGGGAUAAGGUAUCUUAUUAAAGUCU